UGGGGAAUAUUGCACAAUGGGCGCAAGCCUGAUGCAGCCAUGCCGCGUGUGUGAAGAAGGCCUUCGGGUUGUAAAGCACUUUCAGCGAGGAGGAAGGUGGUGAGCUUAAUACGCUCAUCAAUUGACGUUACUCGCAGAAGAAGCACCGGCUAACUCCGUGCCAGCAGCCGCGGUAAUACGGAGGGUGCAAGCGUUAAUCGGAAUUACUGGGCGUAAAGCGCACGCAGGCGGUUUGUUAAGUCAGAUGUGAAAUCCCCGGGCUCAACCUGGGAACUGCAUUUGAAACUGGCAAGCUAGAGUCUCGUAGAGGGGGGUAGAAUUCCAGGUGUAGCGGUGAAAUGCGUAGAGAUCUGGAGGAAUACCGGUGGCGAAGGCGGCCCCCUGGACGAAGACUGACGCUCAGGUGCGAAAGCGUGGGGAGCAAAACAGGAUUAGAUACCCUGGUAGUCCACGCUGUAAAACGAUGUCGAUUUUGGAGGUUGUGCCCUUGAGGCGUGGCUUCCGGAGCUAACGCGUUAAAUCGACCGCCU
RNAcentral lists this ribosomal RNA (530 nucleotides) under uncultured bacterium. Its description in RNAcentral is "partial 16S ribosomal RNA". It matches the Rfam family "Bacterial small subunit ribosomal RNA", at positions 355 to 874 of the family's 1533-position model. The record is from RNAcentral.